GGCUUGCACAGAAAAAGUCCUUAGCUAUACUAAUUUUCCUGUUUAAUCUUUUUUUUAAAUUUUUAUUUAAUUAGGAAGUUUUGGUUUCAUUGUUUCUAGCUUUUAAUAUGUUCUUUGACUAUCCUCAUUUAUUUGAAAACCCAACAUGUAGUACAGCCUUCUGCUUUCUUGAAGACCAUGUCCAGCAACAUUAUUUUAACGUGGUAGUGGAAAAACAAUUCAUCAAAGAGGUCUUUUGCUGCUUUGUGAUCCUCAUGCCAGAAAGGCCAUCACACAAAAAGCCUUCAGGCUCUAAAGGGAAACUGGAGAUAAGCAUGGAAGUAUUUAGGUCGGAGCAAGAUGCCUUGAAAGGAAAGAAAGAGACAUCUUGGAGAACUGAGUUCUGGAACAAUCUCUGAAUAACUUCCUACAAGAAUGACUUCAUGUAAUUUAUUGUAGCUGCAUGAAGUUAGGAUCUUCAGGUUUCACUUCUAUCAAACACUUGCAUACUGAAUGCUUUAAUUCUGAAAAUAUGACUUAUAAAAGCUUCAACACUGAUAAAGAAAAGAAUCCCCAAGAUCAAAGAGCAGGUAACAGAUGAAAGAACACUGGAGAGUGCCUUCAAGGAUUAGCAAGGGGUCUCAAGGAAAAAGGCACCAAAAACUCAGACACCUGCAGAGGGAAAAAAUAAGCUGAACUAUAUGGGAAACAAUGACUGCUUAUUUAGGCAAAAGCUUAAUUUUUGAUGGUGGUGUGAGAGAGAAUACACAGGAAGAAAAAAAUUUUUUUUGCCAUUGUCCUGAAGACAAAACCAGAAAUAAUGGCAUCCAUUGACCCUAUGUUAGAGGAUUUAUUAUUUACGAUUCUUGAGAUGAAAUGUAAAAUAGUUCAUGUUCUUCAUUCAGUCCUGUGACUUGGAGUGUAGGGAAUGAAUUUUCUUUUCCAGUGUUUUCAGGCUGUGCUAAGAAAUCUUAAUGUUUCUGUAGCAAACCUAAUAGUUACAUAAUCAUCUGUUUCAAUUAAGCAACUUAAAUCAUACCAUAAGCACAUAACGAAAUGCUGACCUACAAUAAAUCAUCUUUUCAAACAGUACCUUUAGAUAAUAAGCAUAACAAAUUCCUAAGAUGGAUCCGAUUAUUUAAUGAAAAGUCUUCCUGCUGAGUUUAGUUAGCUUUCGUUCUCGCUAUGGAAUAAAAGUGCUACUGAAUUCUAGGUCGUUAUUGCAUCUUUCUCUAAUAUACAAUUAGAGAACCUAUCCACUGGAGUUUGAUGGCAGUAACCUGUUCUACUUCACUGGAGAUGUGGAGUCUAACAACUUUGCCGUGUAGCAGCCGAGAGCAUCCUUUGGCUCACUGCAGACAAGGAGUCGAUAAAAGCUGAGUAAGAGCUAAUAUUGGCUUAUACUGCAUGAAUGAUUUUCACUGCCUUCAAUUUGUUUAAUUCUUCUCUCCUUGAGCCAUCACAGAUUUUUAACAUCUGGAUGACUUGGUUACUUUUUAAAAAUGUUUGUGCAAAUAAGGACUGUUUUUGAAUAGUGAAUGCAUUCAGUGUUCCACUGAAUUUUUUUUAAGUGGCUACUUUUUUAAAGGGUUCUUAAUUAUUUCCUACAUUCAGUAUCCUGUGACCCUUGUAAAGGUGAUGUGAACAAUUCAUUAUUGCAUGUGCCUUGAGUUAAAGAAAAUAUUUACUUGUUUUAUUCUA
Molecule: non-coding RNA, 1680 nt
Organism: Anas platyrhynchos (mallard)
Lineage: Eukaryota; Metazoa; Chordata; Aves; Anseriformes; Anatidae
Source: RefSeq, a predicted model, not a curated record